This 21-nucleotide microRNA is filed under the name Mus musculus (house mouse). RNAcentral's name for it is "mmu-miR-7053-3p". Lineage: Eukaryota; Metazoa; Chordata; Mammalia; Rodentia; Muridae. The record is from miRBase by way of RNAcentral.
CUCCUGUGUCUCCUUCCCCAG